This 260-nucleotide ribosomal RNA is filed under the name uncultured bacterium. Its description in RNAcentral is "partial 16S ribosomal RNA". It matches the Rfam family "Bacterial small subunit ribosomal RNA", at positions 524 to 776 of the family's 1533-position model. The record is from RNAcentral.
UACGUAGGGUGCAAGCGUUAAUCGGAAUUACUGGGCGUAAAGCGUGCGCAGGCGGUUGUGCAAGACAGAUGUGAAAAUCCCCCGGGCUCAACCUGGGAAUUGCAUUUGUGACUGCACGGGCUAGAGUGUGUCAGAGGGGGGGUAGAAUUCCACGUGUAGCAGUGAAAUGCGUAGAGAUGUGGAGGAAUACCGAUGGCGAAGGCAGCCCCCCUGGGAUAACACUGACGCUCAUGCACGAAAAGCGUGGGGGAGCAAACAGG